Molecule: ribosomal RNA, 492 nt
Filed under: uncultured bacterium
Lineage: Bacteria
Description: partial 16S ribosomal RNA
Rfam family: Bacterial small subunit ribosomal RNA
Source: RNAcentral
AGUGAACGCUGGCGGUAGGCCUAACACAUGCAAGUCGAACGGCAGCACAGUAAGAGCUUGCUCUUACGGGUGGCGAGUGGCGGACGGGUGAGGAAUACAUCGGAAUCUACUUUUUCGUGGGGGAUAACGUAGGGAAACUUACGCUAAUACCGCAUACGACCUACGGGUGAAAGCAGGGGAUCUUCGGACCUUGCGCGAUUGAAUGAGCCGAUGUCGGAUUAGCUAGUUGGCGGGGUAAAGGCCCACCAAGGCGACGAUCCGUAGCUGGUCUGAGAGGAUGAUCGGCCACACUGGAACUGAGACACGGUCCAGACGCCUACGGGAGGCAGCAGUGGGGAAUAUUGGACAAUGGGCGCAAGCCUGAUCCAGCCAGACCGCGUGGGUGAAGAAGGCCUUCGGGUUGUAAAGCCCUUUUGUUGGGAAAGAAAAGCAGCAGGUUAAUACCCCGCUGUUCUGACGGUACCCAAAGAAUAAGCACCGGCUAACUUCGUG